Marmota monax (woodchuck) is the source of this 2627-nucleotide long non-coding RNA. RefSeq lists it as uncharacterized. The record is from RefSeq and is a predicted model, not a curated record. The transcript has 3 exons. Lineage: Eukaryota; Metazoa; Chordata; Mammalia; Rodentia; Sciuridae.
UUCCGGGCGGCCCCUGGUGGUGAAGGGGGCGCUGCGGCGCGCAGCGGCGAGCGCAAGGAAAGGGGCUUGGCGAACCGCCCCAAAGAGGCCGAGACCCUAGUCGCGUCCGCAGCAAUCCUUAUCACGCCCGGAAGCUUCCACAGUACCCCGGAACCACCCGAACCCCAAAGUGUAGGCAGGAUACACUCUUCAGGGGGUACAACUUUGGCAAGAGGAUGAAAGAGGCGCAGGGAACCAAAGAGCCAAGGAGGAUGAAGGCACCCUGUGACACCACUGCGUAUAAACGCAGGAGCCAGAAUGGCAUGGAAGGACAUGCUGUAAGGAAAGGCUUCAUUCCGUGGGGCGCAAUACCAUUCUGUGGGACUUCGAUGGCCUUGAGGCUGACUUUGACCUUGUGAUCCUCCUGCCUCAGCUUCCUGAAUCACUGGGAUAUAAGCCUUUCCAAUUAAUCUUGGAAUGAGAGCCCAAGGCAAGAAGCCAGCAGUGCCCGAGGAAUGCUAAAGAGCAAACUGAUCCAGAGAAACAAAUGCCAGCGAGGGACCCCACAGCAGAGAGACAGACACUGUGAGCAACGCUCCUGUUACCAUGAGGCUUGCGAGGCGUGUGCGCGGGUCUCCGCAUUGGCACCAUCUGCCAAUUCCUCAGGAGGACAGAACAAACCAGCGAGGCAUGAAGAUUAGAUUAUGUAACGCUCGAGGAUUGCUGUUUUCAAAGAGGAAACAAAUGGAACGAAUUGAUUUGCUUGUCAAAGUCAUGUCACUGAAAGAGACCCGUUCCCUCCUUUUCUGAAGGACCUCAUUAAACAGGGGAAUGAUUUCCCAGACUCACAACGCGAGAGACCAAAAUCCACUCCAUUCAUAAGAGCAGGUGCAAUUUCCAGAGUCGCAGGGAUGAAUCCUAUUCUGGUCUUCCUGCUUGAAAAAAAAAAAAAAAAUGACCGUGCAGCUGCUACCUAAAGGGCACCAACAUGGCAGGGAACAUAACUGGCAGUUGCUAGCCAGAAGAUCCAGAACCCGUGUGCUUUGCCUCUACUCUCUUACUUCCAGGGAAGCAGCAUCUAAUUUUGAGACCAGUGGGGACAUAUUUACUAUUCAGAGCUCUAAACAAGUGCUUUGAUAGACUGGGGACGCGUUCUUAAAAAUACAAGCAGGAAGGAGAAUGAGAUGCUUUUCUGGGACCCCUCUGUCAUUGCUGGGCUUCUCAGAAUUGCUUUGUGUAGUGUAUGCAGUAGAAACAAAUCAAUGCAAACCCCAAGCUUGCUGCCAUGGUCCUAUCCCCCCCCAGGUUUCCCUGCCUUGCUAAGACACAAAGAUUGAAAUAUCAAGUCUUUAUUCAACAUGUAAAUGAAACCUGUUGUACUGGAUAUUUUCCAUUUGCUCCUCCAGACCUACUUGUCUAACCUUCUCUGUCCUGCCCUUUGCCCUGGGGUGCUGACCUAUAUGAAUGACACCAACUUGCUGCACUGCCCUCUAGCUUUGUUGGGUAUAGCCAAGGGGAGACAGCAGCAGGAAACUGAAAGACACAAGGAAUAUGAGGUUAGCUGGGCAUGAUGACACACACCUGUCAUCCCUGUGGCUCGGGAGGCUGAUGCAGGAAAAUCUCGAGUUCAAAGCCAGCCUCAGCAAAAGUGAGGCGCUAAACAACUCAGUGAGGCCCUGUCUCUAAAUAAAAUACAAAAUAGGGCUGGGGAUGUGGCUCAGUGAUCCAGUGCUCCUGAGUUCAAUCCCCAGUACUCCCUACCCCCCCAAAAAGGAGGAUAAGGUUGACAUAACUCUUCCCCAACUCCCUCCCUGCCAGAUCAUCUUAGGUUGGUUGUGUCUUUUGAUAAAAGAUCACCCCUUCUUCUCAAGGUUGUCCUUCCCACACAACCCUCUUUUAAUGGAUUCUAUAAAUCUCUCCCUCCCCUCAACCUUCAGAUCUAGGAGUGGUAAAGGCUAUUACUAGUCCCCUGGGUACUACACAUAACCUUAUGGUUUCCCUGUGCCCUGCCCAAACCUUGCAGAUAGUCUCUUUAUUAAAUCCUCCUCUAAUUAUCUACUUUGAGUGUGCCAUCUGUUUCUUAUACAGACCCUGCCUGAUAUACCUACCACACGUAUCAGUAUGUUGUAGGCCCAACACCAUGGUAAAAAAAAAAAGGAACAAAAUUAAUAAUACAAUAUGCUACCACUUUAUGUAGUUAUUCUGCAUGUUCACCUCUUCCCAAAGCUAUAAUAACAACUUAAAGAUAAAACCUAAUUCCUCUUUACAACAUAAUUGUGCAGUAGAGUUUGUAUGAGCUAAAUAUAAUUCAGAGAACAAGCUUUCUCAUGCCAUCAAAAUUCAUGUUAACAACUAUAAAGAGAAAACUCCAGAACUGAUUCCCCUGACUUGAAAUUUAGCAGAAAUAUCUUCCAGUAUUUAAAUCAACCCAACAACUAUUUGAAAGUCUACUAUUGUGGCCAGCAAGGUGGUGACCUAACAAUGGGGAACAACGGAGAUGUGAAUCCAACUUUGUGGAAUGGGGUCUUAUUUUAUGCAAUAAAUAUGCAUCCAAAAAGUGAAAUGCAAAUUUCAUUUCCAUAAAUCGAUUAAUAUGUUGUAUGAUCACGAAGAGCUUACUAUUUGCAUAAUAAAUUUAAAAUUUUUUU